GACGAACGCUGGCGGCAUGCCUAACACAUGCAAGUCGAACGAGACGUUCGGGUCUAGUGGCGCACGGGUGCGUAACGCGGGGGAAGCAGCCCGUAGGUACGGAAUAACUCACCGAAAGGGGUGCUAAUAACAGAUAAUGUCUUCGGACAAACGAUUUAUCGCCGUGGGCUGGGGGCGCGUUGGAUUAGCUGGUUGGUAGGGUAAAAGCAAACCAAGGCGACGAUGCAGGGCUGGUCGGGGAGGAGGCCAAGCCAGACUGGGAAUGAGACACGGCCUAGAACCGUACGGAGCGCAGCAGUGGGGAACAUUAGACGAUGGGCGAAAGUGUAACACAGCAGUGUCGGGGGUGUGAUGAAGGCGGUAGUAUUGUAAUGCCCUUUGAGCCGAGAUGAUAAUGACGGUACCGGGUGAAUAAGCACCGGCUAACUCCGUG
Molecule: ribosomal RNA, 433 nt
Filed under: uncultured bacterium
Lineage: Bacteria
Description: partial 16S ribosomal RNA
Rfam family: Bacterial small subunit ribosomal RNA
Source: RNAcentral